GAAGUUCAAUAGAAACAGUUCUGCUUGCCUACGACUAUAGUUAUAGUCACUUGUUGGGCUGAUUUCAAGCAGACUGCUUAGUGUUGACCGUGUCAUGCUAUUGUUAUUGACCUGCUGCUUGUGUCUUAAAUAAAUAUAUGCGAAGGUAGACACGAUCUUUGCUGCUUCUGUCUUAAAUAAAUAAAUAAAAUUCUAUAAUGAUGAUCUGAAAUGUCACACAGGUGAACAUUGGUGCUGCUGCCGCCGCUGUGCCAGUUGGAGGUGCUGCUGCUGCAUGUGGUGGAGCUGUAGCUGCAACCCCAAAGGGCAAACCUUCAUCAGGCACAACCCCAUAACAGGGCCUCAAGGUUCUAUUCCCCAUCGCCCCUCUUUCUAAAUUACUGGAAUGAAAAUGGCCAGGCCUGAUGUGCCUCCUGUAUCUAUUGCUCGAUUUGUUAUGAUUUGAUUCACCAAGAGUGAUUCUUCUACUAUCUUGUAGUAAGAUUAAAUGGAACAACGAGGGAUGUUUCUAAGUUGGUUAUUGCUAGAAUAAUUCAUCAACUUGAGAUAUGCUAGGAUGUUCUGCCUUUCCUUACUGAAGAAGAUAAGAAUGGAAUUUAAUUGGAUGGUCCCUUUCAUCGUGCUUAAUUAGCUGUAAAUGUGCCCCCUUACUGAAGAAGAUAUGAAUCCAUAGGUGUUAUGCAAAAUUAAAUCUGUCAUCUUGUAUGUGCUCUAGGCAGUGUCGAGAGGGUGAAAAAUAUGAGAACAAAAAAGAAUUACUUGAUUAAUUUACAACAUCCAUCCUUUACUCCGUCCGUGUCAUCGUUGUUUACCCCUGUGAGUAUUUUUAACUUGAAAAUCUCUAGUGAACUGCCAUUUGCAGUACAUUUGCUUUCCAUGUUAAUUUUUUGGGUUACUCCAUCUUGCUCUAUUAAGUAAAAUUUGAUAUGUGGAGUAGCAGCAGUAAGCUAGACCAUCCGUCAAUAGACUGCACCACGGAGGUCACCCUCAUAUGGAUAAUGAAUCAUUAUCCCGUUCUUGUAUACCUGAGAUGUUCCUAAUGAAUAAUUUACUAGACAAACAAUCUUGUUUGCCGUAAGAAUUCUGGCAUGCCAAAAUCUGUCGUCUAUGUAUGCUUCGGUUAAUAUGGACCUGAAUGGCAAGGGCUAGCCAACCUACUUAGCUAGAUUAACAUAACAGGAACAGUACACAACCGGCUAGCUCAUGUUUGCAUUGGCUGCCACAUCGGCUAGCUAGAUGCGACUGCUUAAGGGCUAGUCAACAAAUUUUACAGCAUUCUAUGUUGUAGCCAAACACUUGCUCUGUAUUUUAUAUUAAAACCAUGGUAUUGUGUACCUGCCAACUACGAGUAAAUUACUGCAGUUUUUAAUACUUUGGUUUUUUGAUACUUUGCUGUUCGAUUUACUUUUAUUUUGUCCCUAAACAUUUUGUUCUACAAUGUGCAGAUGCUGGCAUUUCAUUCAGGACAAAGAAGUUGGAUGAAGCAUAGUUUUACCUCAUUGAGCUAGUUCUGGGAGUAAUGAACUCCUUGUAGCAGAACUUGUAUGUGUGUUAUAUGAUGUAGCAGAACUUGUAGGGCUCCUAUGAUAGACUUGGGCUGAUACACUUGUGCUGUAUGUGUGUUAUCUAAUUGUAAACUUGAUGCUGAUCACAUUUUUAUGUAUGUUAUAUGAUGUAGCAGAUUGCUUCCUGCUGUUAUUUGAAAUAUUGUGUCUGUUUUUUGUAUUUGCAUAUUGAAAUAUGAAAGAACAUGACCUUGACAGUAGGGUCCCACAAACUAGAAUGUCGCAUUUGGGACCCACUUACCAGAAUUUGACAAUUGGCAUGCAUUAAAAAAAAAGAAACAAAGGCUACCGCCCAAAAAUAAAAAGGCUAUAAUGUUGGGCUAGGCCCAUGAAAUUGACCAAAAAUUGACACGAAAAAAAUAUAAAUGGGCUGAAUUAAUGGGCUUGGCCCAUAUAAACACCGAAUUGGACCGGGCUGAAUCUUG
This 1990-nucleotide long non-coding RNA is filed under the name Triticum aestivum (bread wheat). Its description in RNAcentral is "long non-coding RNA (TAES_LNC027058)". Lineage: Eukaryota; Viridiplantae; Streptophyta; Magnoliopsida; Poales; Poaceae. The record is from RNAcentral.